GAGAGGCUGGUAUCGGGGUACAGCGGUUCGCCGACGGGCAAAACUUCUCAAUAGUUUUUUGUGUACAAUUGUGAAUGUGUACAUACGACGUCCAGUUCAAAACUUCCGUACACAGCGUAUUGUAUUGUAUGCGUGGUCAUUUUGUUUCAAUGGAUUGUCCGAAGUCUACAUCAAAACAGCUGAAUCUGUAAGGGAAAUUAUACAUUUUUGUGACAGUGAGCAAGAAAAAGAAAGAAUAUUGCCAAGAUGACAGCUGUAGUCCUACGUGUGUAUAAUUGAAGAUCAUCAUAGCCUACAUAGUACAUACAGUAGAUGACAUUCAGAAAAAGGAUUUGGCAAUCUAUUGCAGUGAAUAUCUAGAGGACUGCACAACCCGCAUCACAGAGAAAGGUUAGUUUUCCCCAACAAUUAUAUUUUCACAUCUCUGGAAUAUAUUAGUUGGAGUGUUAGCUAUUU
Molecule: long non-coding RNA, 456 nt
Organism: Strongylocentrotus purpuratus (purple sea urchin)
Lineage: Eukaryota; Metazoa; Echinodermata; Echinoidea; Camarodonta; Strongylocentrotidae
Exons: 3
Source: RefSeq, a predicted model, not a curated record